GGACCCUUCAUGAAAUACCUAAAAAAUCGAUUUUUCGCCUGCGACUACUCGAUUUCUGCACUCUCUCGUGCCAUCCAAUUGGCUCUUCUUCAGAAAUAUCUCGAGGAUCCCCUCUGGCGAGAAGAUGCUCACGACGCAGAGCUCCAAAAAUACGACCGUGUGCUCCGUGUGUUUCUCGAAGAAUUUGGUGAAAAUCCGGCCGAAAUCGACGAAAAAUUGGCUGAAAAUCUGCGAUGCCACGUGGAAAUUCAGUCGGAUGGCGGCGAUUUUUGGACGAAAAUUCGCCACGAAUCGAUAUUUCAAGAACGAAAAUCUGCGAUUUUUGACGGAAAUUCCACCAAUUUGCACUCAUUUUUGCGUCGAUUUUUGGCAAAAAUCACUCCAAUUGACCCAAAAUUCUGUGAAAAAUUGGAAAAUCUACGCGAAAAUCUGAUCUCCGCUGAGCAAAACCCAGAAAAGUCGGAAAUUUCGCCGGAAAAAUCGAUAACAACGACACAAAAAAUGAGCUUCCUGGAGAUGCAGAAGCAGCGCCGAUCGGCUAUGACGGCCAAGCAGCAGAACCCACUGAGAAGUGCGAAAAGUGCGAUUUUUUCGCAUGUUAUG
Molecule: small RNA, 603 nt
Filed under: Caenorhabditis elegans
Lineage: Eukaryota; Metazoa; Nematoda; Chromadorea; Rhabditida; Rhabditidae
Description: Unclassified non-coding RNA Y119D3B.29
Source: RNAcentral